CAUGAGUUAUGUCAUGUUAUCGACAUGUGAAUUCAUAGCAUGUCAGAAGGCAGACCCGGAGAACUGAAACAUCUUAGUACCCGGAGGAAGAGAAAGAAAAAUCGAUUCCCUGAGUAGCGGCGAGCGAAACGGGAAGAGCCCAAACCAACAAGCUUGCUUGUUGGGGUUGUAGGACACUCUAUACGGAGUUACAAAAGAACAUGUUAGACGAAUCAUCUGGAAAGAUGAAUCAAAGAAGGUAAUAAUCCUGUAGUCGAAAACAUAUUCUCUCUUGAGUGGAUCCUGAGUACGACGGAGCACGUGAAAUUCCGUCGGAAUCUGGGAGGACCAUCUCCUAAGGCUAAAUACUCUCUAGUGACCGAUAGUGAACCAGUACCGUGAGGGAAAGGUGAAAAGUACCCCGGAAGGGGAGUGAAAGAGAACUUGAAACCGUGUGCUUACAAGUAGUCAGAGCCCGUUAAUGGGUGAUGGCGUGCCUUUUGUAGAAUGAACCGGCGAGUUACGAUCUGAUGCAAGGUUAAGCAGCAAAUGUGGAGCCGCAGCGAAAGCGAGUCUGAAUAGGGCGUUGAGUAUUUGGUCGUAGACCCGAAACCAGGUGAUCUACCCUUGGUCAGGUUGAAGUUCAGGUAACACUGAAUGGAGGACCGAACCGACUUACGUUGAAAAGUGAGCGGAUGAACUGAGGGUAGCGGAGAAAUUCCAAUCGAACUUGGAGAUAGCUGGUUCUCUCCGAAAUAGCUUUAGGGCUAGCCUCAAGUGAUGAUUAUUGGAGGUAGAGCACUGUUUGGACGAGGGGCCCCUCUCGGGUUACCGAAUUCAGACAAACUCCGAAUGCCAAUUAAUUUAACUUGGGAGUCAGAACAUGGGUGAUAAGGUCCGUGUUCGAAAGGGAAACAG
RNAcentral lists this ribosomal RNA (897 nucleotides) under Staphylococcus epidermidis. RNAcentral's name for it is "bacterial LSU rRNA". It matches the Rfam family "Bacterial large subunit ribosomal RNA", at positions 132 to 1025 of the family's 2925-position model. The record is from RNAcentral. Lineage: Bacteria; Bacillati; Bacillota; Bacilli; Caryophanales; Staphylococcaceae.